CUCCUACGGGAGGCAGCAGUAAGGAAUAUUGGUCAAUGGAGGCAACUCUGAACCAGCCAUGCCGCGUGCAGGAAGACAGCCCUCUGGGUCGUAAACUGCUUUUAUUCGGGAAUAAACCUACUUACGUGUAAGUAGCUGAAUGUACCGAAGGAAUAAGGAUCGGCUAACUCCGUGCCAGCAGCCGCGGUAAUACGGAGGAUCCAAGCGUUAUCCGGAUUUAUUGGGUUUAAAGGGUGCGUAGGCGGCCUAUUAAGUCAGGGGUGAAAGACGGUAGCUCAACUAUCGCAGUGCCCUUGAUACUGAUGGGCUUGAAUACACUAGAGGUAGGCGGAAUGUGACAAGUAGCGGUGAAAUGCAUAGAUAUGUCACAGAACACCGAUUGCGAAGGCAGCUUACUAUGGUGUUAUUGACGCUGAGGCACGAAAGCGUGGGGAUCAAACAGGA
This 444-nucleotide ribosomal RNA is filed under the name uncultured bacterium. Its description in RNAcentral is "bacterial SSU rRNA". It matches the Rfam family "Bacterial small subunit ribosomal RNA", at positions 336 to 777 of the family's 1533-position model. The record is from RNAcentral.